GGGGUGCUCCCAGUCUGCUCUCAGUUUGCCAUGGGGUGAUCCCAGUCCAAUCCCAGUUUGCCAUGGGGUGAUCCCAGUCCAAUCCCAGUCCGGUCGGUUGGUGUCUCUUUGGGGGAGGAAUUAAAUUUUCCCCUCGGACGUCGCCGCAGAUCCCGGCGGAGGAUCCGGCACGUCACGACGCCAUCGGCAUCCGGACAUCCAGGUGCCCGGGAAACCGUCGCGUGGUCGUGCCGGGAUGCGGCGGGAACCGCCGGGGGGACGUCGGCUCCGGAAAGAGCCGGAAAACUCCCCCCGGCUCCACCGUUCCCGCGGGGGGGGGCAGGCCGGACGGGGUCUGUGUCGGCGGAGCCGGGCGGGUUUUUGGGGAACGCCAGUCCCGGCGGCUCCGAUGGUGGGAAAGAGGCUCCGGGCUGGGGUGGGGAUAAGGGGGAGCAUCUGCACGGAUCUGUCCCUCCACAGAGCAUCCCAGGAGCAUCAAGUGAGCAUCCCCUAAGCAUCCCGCAAGCAUCCCGCAAGCAUCAUGUGAGCAUCCUGCGAGCAUCCUGCGAGCAUCCCACAAGCAUCCCCUGAGCAUCCUGCAAGGAUUCCCUAAGCAUCCCACGAGCAUCCUGCAAGGAUCCUGCGAGGAUCCCCUGAGCAUCCCAUGAGCAUCCCACAAGCAUCCUGCGAGGAUCCCCUGAGCAUCCCAUGAGCAUCCCACAAGCAUCCUGCAAGGAUUCCCUGAGCAUCCCCGGAGCAUCCCAUGAGCAUCCCCUAAGCAUGCCAUGAGCAUCCUGCAAGGAUCCUGCGAGGAUCCCCUGAGCAUCCCGCGAGCGUCCUGGUCCCCGGCAGUGUCUCCCUGCCAGCAGUGACCCCCCCCCAUCCUGCUACUUUCAGGGUUCUCCGUGGGGAUUUUGGGAGUGAUCCCGCUGCACGUGGCAUUUUGGGGGGGCUCAGAGGGGGAUCUUGGCUCCCGGCCAGACCAGGGACAGCUCUGACGCCCCCCCAGCACCCCCAGGGACCUGUUACAGGACCCCCCUUCCCCCGACUUUCCCUCCUUAAUUUCAACGACAACUUAAAAAAAAAAACCAACCCAAAACACCCCAAUUUACCCUUUUUUCUCCCCAGAUUUUCCCAGGUGGAAGCAGCGCAGGGUUUUGUCUGUUAUAACUCAACCAACUGCCCCAAAAAUGGGGAAAUCUCAUCUUUAGUGGAGAUUUGACAGUUUCCCACGGGAUUUGGAGGGUUUCUGGGCCUGGACCACUGCCCAGCAUCCCCAAUUUUUCCCCCUUUCUGCAGUAUCUGAAAUCUAUUUAAAAAUUCUAGAAAACAAAUCUA
Aquila chrysaetos chrysaetos is the source of this 1317-nucleotide long non-coding RNA. RefSeq lists it as uncharacterized. The transcript has 2 exons. Lineage: Eukaryota; Metazoa; Chordata; Aves; Accipitriformes; Accipitridae. The record is from RefSeq and is a predicted model, not a curated record.